CACAUAAACGCAGGCACACACACACUCUCACUCUCUCUCUGUUUGUCCCUCUUUCAAUUUGUUUUGCCUAUUUCUAUUUGCAUUCUUCAUUCUUUCAAUAUGGCAUCUUCAGGUUUUGACCAGUUAUGUCAGGAAGCUGCAGCUAUUUCAAAGCAUCUUGAAAUGAAAGCUGACAAUGCUGAACUUGAAGCAGCUACCAGAGAGGCUGAAGAAAUUCUACAAAUGUUCAAUCCUCCACUGCUGAAAAAGAAGACCAAACGAGCGAUUUCCUGGACUCAACAGACACAGUGAACUUUGCACUGCAUUUCAAAGCCAGCUCCUCAGCCGCAACACUGAAAACCAGAGUUGAGGUCAAUGUACUGCUGAGAAAAGUGCAAGAUCUGUUUAACCAAAAAUAUAAGGAUGCCGGAGGUACUGGAAGGCUCCCCUACCAAUCCCUGGUAAAUUAAGGCAUGACAGUUAAAGUUGCAGGACUGCCCAACAGCCUCAAAAAGUCAUCCUAUUAUGGAAGGAACCAGUUGGAGGCCAUUUUGCAAGCUGCUGAGGAGAUUUCAUUUGAAAUCAAGCUGGAAGAACAGUCCUCAGAAACAGCCACUACUGUAGCUAUCGUGAUGACUGCAGAUUAAGAUGGAGGCCAUUUGUGCUGUGUCUGCCGCGUCCUUUUCGAUGACAGGAAGAAGAAUGCUUCAGAGAAGUGGCGUUCAUGGUCACAGUGUGCCAAUCAUGGUCACACACUGCAUGUCAAGACACCAUACAAACAGCCUGUAGCGCUGCAUCAGUGAUAGGAAACAUGCUGGUUACACAAGAUGUUUUAUGUUUUAACUUUGAGUUGUUUUUACUUUGUUCAUGACCCCAUCCCUACAAACACAGACACAUAUUUUUUUUACUUUUAUGUAUUGGAUGCAAUUUAAUAUUUUUCAUGCAAAUGUAUUGUAAUGAUUACACUUAUAAGAAUAAAACAGAUUUUUAAUUCACUCUAAUUUGUAUUUAUUGUUGUCAUUUGUUGGCACCAUAAGUGUGGUCCCUUUACCUGGGACAUGUGGGGACCAAUUAAUAUCUAUUGUACUGAAUUUAGGCCACAGGUUGUAAAUGAUAAGUAGCCUAUUGUUUCAUCUUUUAUCAAUGGUUCGGUAUGGUUGGGUGUUGGCAAGGACCUCACCAUACUUUUCAAUACAGUGAGUCAAAGUUUGAUUUAAUGUUAUGAUUAAAUACUUUACAUAACUUUAACAACUUUUUCGCAGUCUUGCUGUCACUGAGAGGUAUUUGGCAAAUUUGAUAUCGAAAAGUUGGUUUAUGUCAGAGCAGUAGUGAUACUUGUGUUGAUAUACAACUGAACAGUACAAUUUAAAUAUAAUGGUUGCUAUGAACGAUGAUGAUGAUGUUAUGUGUAUCUGCUUUAUCAAAGUGAUUUUCCUCCAUCAUACAGAUGAAGUUGAAGCAAAUCUCUAUUACCACAUUUAAUGUUAUGAAAAGAACCAUCAUGACAGAAAUAUAUAUUUAUAUAUGAAUUGAAAGUAAUACAAAAAAUAAAAAAUAAGACCAGAAACC
Misgurnus anguillicaudatus (oriental weatherfish) is the source of this 1548-nucleotide non-coding RNA. The record is from RefSeq and is a predicted model, not a curated record. Lineage: Eukaryota; Metazoa; Chordata; Actinopteri; Cypriniformes; Cobitidae.